RNAcentral lists this ribosomal RNA (372 nucleotides) under uncultured organism. RNAcentral describes it as "bacterial SSU rRNA". It matches the Rfam family "Bacterial small subunit ribosomal RNA", at positions 526 to 896 of the family's 1533-position model. The record is from RNAcentral.
CGUAGGGGGCUAGCGUUGUCCGGAAUCAUUGGGCGUAAAGCGCGUGUAGGCGGUCCGGUAAGUCCGCUGUGAAAGUCGGGGGCUCAACCCUCGGAUGCCGGUGGAUACUGUCGGGCUCGAGUACGGAAGAGGCGAGUGGAAUUCCUGGUGUAGCGGUGAAAUGCGCAGAUAUCAGGAGGAACACCAAUUGCGAAGGCAGCUCGCUGGGACGUCACUGACGCUGAGACGCGAAAGCGUGGGGAGCAAACAGGAUUAGAUACCCUGGUAGUCCACGCUGUAAACGAUGGGCACUAGGUGUGGGGGGUGUCGACUCCCUCCGUGCCGAAGCUAACGCAUUAAGUGCCCCGCCUGGGGAGUACGGCCGCAAGGCUA